Molecule: non-coding RNA, 108 nt
Filed under: Endozoicomonas elysicola
Lineage: Bacteria; Pseudomonadati; Pseudomonadota; Gammaproteobacteria; Oceanospirillales; Endozoicomonadaceae
Description: TPP sequence
Rfam family: TPP riboswitch aptamer (THI element)
About the family: Vitamin B(1) in its active form thiamin pyrophosphate (TPP) is an essential coenzyme that is synthesised by coupling of pyrimidine and thiazole moieties in bacteria. The previously detected thiamin-regulatory element, thi box was extended, resulting in a new, highly conserved RNA secondary structure, the THI element, which is widely distributed in eubacteria and also occurs in some archaea.
Source: Rfam by way of RNAcentral
UCCAGUGGCGCAGGGUGCCUGUUUGAUCAGUAAGCUUUCAGGCUGAGAUUAUACCUGUUGAACCUGAACCGGUUAGUACCGGCGUAGGAACUGCCAUAAAGCGACCAC